Molecule: ribosomal RNA, 460 nt
Filed under: uncultured bacterium
Lineage: Bacteria
Description: partial 16S ribosomal RNA
Rfam family: Bacterial small subunit ribosomal RNA
Source: RNAcentral
CCUACGGGUGGCAGCAGUGAGGAAUAUUGGUCAAUGGGCGCGAGCCUGAACCAGCCAAGUAGCGUGAAGGAUGACUGCCCUAUGGGUUGUAAACUUCUUUUAUAUGGGAAUAAAAUGCGCCACGUGUGGCUUUUUGUAUGUACCAUAUGAAUAAGGAUCGGCUAACUCCGUGCCAGCAGCCGCGGUAAUACGGAGGAUCCGAGCGUUAUCCGGAUUUAUUGGGUUUAAAGGGAGCGUAGGUGGAUUGUUAAGUCAGUUGUGAAAGUUUGCGGCUCAACCGUAAACUGGCAGUUGAAACUGGUAGUCUUGAGUACAGGAGAGGUAGGCGGAAUGCGUGGUGUAGCGGUGAAAUGCUUAGAUAUCACGAAGAACUCCGAGUGCGAAGGCAGCUUACUGGAGUGCAACUGACACUGAUGCUCGAAAGUGUGGGUAUCAAACAGGAUUAGAUACCCGAGUAGUC